CAAAAAGCAAAUCCUGAGUUUCCGUGUCCAACUUUAACUGUCUGUCUUAUAUAAUUUUUUUUAUAAUUCGUAUUUUUAUUAUUGUUAGAUGAUAAAACAUGAUUAAUAUUUUAUGCGUGACUUGUCUUUUUAAUUUUUUUCAUAAUUUUUUCAAAUAAGACGGACGAUCAAACGUUGGGCACGGAAACCAGGGUUUGUCUUUUU
Molecule: microRNA precursor, 204 nt
Filed under: Oryza sativa Japonica Group (Japanese rice)
Lineage: Eukaryota; Viridiplantae; Streptophyta; Magnoliopsida; Poales; Poaceae
Description: MIR812 microRNA precursor family
Rfam family: MIR812 microRNA precursor family
Source: Rfam by way of RNAcentral